Molecule: non-coding RNA, 123 nt
Organism: Arachis ipaensis
Lineage: Eukaryota; Viridiplantae; Streptophyta; Magnoliopsida; Fabales; Fabaceae
Source: RefSeq, a predicted model, not a curated record
GAUGUUCACUGAAGCUUUUACAACAAUUCUUUUUCUUUCUAUGAGGCGUCGUUGCAAGAAGGCAACUAUCGUGGACACAAACUACCACACUCUCCAACUUUCAUGCUCAUCAUUCGGAGCUAU